AAUAUUUGACGGCGUUGACUUUUUUAAAUAUGUUUGACCGUUCGUCUUAUUCAAAUUUUUUAAGUAAUUAUUAAUUAUUUUCCUAUCAUUUGAUUUAUUAUUAAAUAUAUUUUAUGUAGGCAUAUAAUUUUUCAUAUUUCACAAAAGUUUUUAAAUAAGACGAACGGUCAAACAUGUGCUAAAAAGUUAACGGUGUCAAAUAUU
This 204-nucleotide microRNA precursor is filed under the name Oryza sativa Indica Group (long-grained rice). RNAcentral describes it as "MIR812 microRNA precursor family". It matches the Rfam family "MIR812 microRNA precursor family". The record is from Rfam by way of RNAcentral. Lineage: Eukaryota; Viridiplantae; Streptophyta; Magnoliopsida; Poales; Poaceae.